Molecule: long non-coding RNA, 213 nt
Organism: Esox lucius (northern pike)
Lineage: Eukaryota; Metazoa; Chordata; Actinopteri; Esociformes; Esocidae
Exons: 3
Source: RefSeq, a predicted model, not a curated record
AACAGCUGAGACCUCAGCGAAAACACAGAUUGAAGUUAUAAAGGGCUCUGGGGUGUUUUGCCAGGCAGAAGCGUGGAAAGCAGCCUGCCUUGCCACCUCUGCUACUGCCAUGGUGCGGAUCUGCUGCUGGGCACCUUUGAUUUGGAGACUUUGCUGAAAAGCAACCUGAAUGGUGGGAAACCAACCAGAGGGGAUGGGGAGCAGCUGGUCGCC